Molecule: long non-coding RNA, 92 nt
Organism: Mustela erminea (ermine)
Lineage: Eukaryota; Metazoa; Chordata; Mammalia; Carnivora; Mustelidae
Exons: 3
Source: RefSeq, a predicted model, not a curated record
AAAACUGUUCUUUGGUGUGUGGACGUGAUUACCGUUUGCCAGACCUGGGCUUAUUGACAUCCCUGAUGACAUCACUGAUGACAUCCCUUAUG